This 77-nucleotide signal recognition particle RNA is filed under the name Bacteroidota bacterium. RNAcentral's name for it is "Bacteroidetes bacterium (aquifer metagenome) partial signal recognition particle sRNA small type". It matches the Rfam family "Bacterial small signal recognition particle RNA", at positions 23 to 97 of the family's 97-position model. Rfam says of the family: The signal recognition particle (SRP) is a universally conserved ribonucleoprotein involved in the co-translational targeting of proteins to membranes. Archaeal SRP consists of a 7S RNA and homologues of the eukaryotic SRP19 and SRP54 proteins. The record is from RNAcentral. Lineage: Bacteria; Pseudomonadati; Bacteroidota.
CCCUUUGAACUCCAUCAGGACCGGAAGGUAGCAGUGGUAGAAGGUUGUAGCGGCGCGAUGUAGUAAGCUUGCUCUCA